RNAcentral lists this ribosomal RNA (468 nucleotides) under uncultured bacterium. Its description in RNAcentral is "partial 16S ribosomal RNA". It matches the Rfam family "Bacterial small subunit ribosomal RNA", at positions 28 to 507 of the family's 1533-position model. The record is from RNAcentral.
GACGAACGCUGGCGGCGUGCUUAACACAUGCAAGUCGAACGGAAAGGCCCUGCUUUUGUGGGGUGCUCGAGUGGCGAACGGGUGAGUAACACGUGAGUAACCUGCCCUUGACUUUGGGAUAACUUCAGGAAACUGGGGCUAAUACCGGAUAGGAGCUCCUGCUGCAUGGUGGGGGUUGGAAAGUUUCGGCGGUUGGGGAUGGACUCGCGGCUUAUCAGCUUGUUGGUGGGGUAGUGGCUUACCAAGGCUUUGACGGGUAGCCGGCCUGAGAGGGUGACCGGCCACAUUGGGACUGAGAUCCGGCCAAGACUCCUACGGGAGGCAGCAGUGGGGAAUAUUGCACAAUGGGCGGAAGCCUGAUGCAGCAACGCCGCGUGCGGGAUGACGGCCUUCGGGUUGUAACCCGCUUUCGCCUGUGACGAAGCGUGAGUGACGGUAAUGGGUAAAGAAGCACCGGCUAACUACGUG